Molecule: ribosomal RNA, 253 nt
Filed under: uncultured bacterium
Lineage: Bacteria
Description: partial 16S ribosomal RNA
Rfam family: Bacterial small subunit ribosomal RNA
Source: RNAcentral
GACAGAGGGUGCAAACGUUGCUCGGAAUUACUGGGCGUAAAGCGCGUGUAGGUGGAUUGGUGUGUCAGAUGUGAAAGCCCUGGGCUCAACCCAGGAACAGCACCUGAAACUACCAGUCUUGAGUGGUGGAGAGGGAAGUGGAAUUCCUGGUGUAGAGGUGAAAUUCGUAGAUAUCAGGAGGAACACCAGUGGCGAAGGCGGCUUCCUGGACACCAACUGACGCUGAGACGCGAAAGCGUGGGGAGCAAACAGG